Sebastes umbrosus (honeycomb rockfish) is the source of this 336-nucleotide long non-coding RNA. RefSeq lists it as uncharacterized. NCBI's taxonomy places the organism in Eukaryota, Metazoa, Chordata, Actinopteri, Perciformes, Sebastidae. The record is from RefSeq and is a predicted model, not a curated record. The transcript is spliced from 2 exons.
UGUAUGUCCUUUGGCACCCCCUAGUGGCGUCUGCAAAUAACUGUACUGAAGAGGAAGUGAGGUCAUUGUAAACAAAGAAUAACAGGAAGUGGUGUUCAGGAAGCUCCUUUUUGCUCAGGGAAUCAUCUGUGUACAAUCUUCUUAAUCCUGUGCUUUAAAUCCACAAAACCGGCUUCAUCUUUUUACAAUAUUACAUAUUUUCCUCCAUUAAAUCCUGCCAAAUACAACAACUCGUCUGUUCCUUGGAGAAUGCAAUGCUGGAGAAUAUAUUGUUGAGCUGGCUGUAUAGCUGAAAAACACGUUGCCUGCAACAACUUUGAGUGAGGACAGCAUAGU